This 609-nucleotide ribosomal RNA is filed under the name Lottia instabilis. RNAcentral's name for it is "partial large subunit ribosomal RNA". It matches the Rfam family "Bacterial large subunit ribosomal RNA", at positions 1824 to 2570 of the family's 2925-position model. Lineage: Eukaryota; Metazoa; Mollusca; Gastropoda; Lottiidae. The record is from RNAcentral.
CGCAGACAUGUGAAUGUUAUUCCCGGGAGGUCACGCCUGCACAAUGGCCUACGGGUUCAAUUGCCGCGGUAACCUGCCCGUGCAAAGGUAGCGUAAUCAAUAGCCUAUUAAUUGUUGGCCUGUAUGAAUGGUACGACGCUGGUGGCGCUGUCUCGAUUACACUAAUUUGAAUUUAACUUCUGGGUGAAAAGGCCCAGAUACAUCUGAAAGACGAUUAGACCCUGUCGAACUUUAGGUAGCUUAUCCACCAACUUGCCUAAUAAAGGCAGUGAUUGUUUUGUUAUUAAACCUUUGGUUGGGGUGACCGGGGACUAAAAAAACGCCCCCCCUCCAUCGAAAGUUAACACCCACUUUGAUAAGGGUAAUAGUGACUUUACCCCCAGGGCAAUUGGCCUUCAGGAAAGUAAUCGCUUGAUUAAUUAAAAAGGUCUGACAAGACAUAGUUUACUUAUAAAAUGAACCUAAAGAACUGUGUUUCAGUUAACUGUUAAAAGGGAAGAGUUACCGCAGGGAUAACAGCGUAAUCUUCCCGGCGAGACCACAUUAAGGGGAGGGUUUGCGACCUCGAUGUUGGCUUAGGGCUUCCUAGAAGUGCAGGGGCUUCUAAGG